Molecule: ribosomal RNA, 67 nt
Filed under: Chlorocystis sp. IOAC690S
Lineage: Eukaryota; Viridiplantae; Chlorophyta; Ulvophyceae; Chlorocystidales; Chlorocystidaceae
Description: partial 28S ribosomal RNA
Rfam family: Eukaryotic large subunit ribosomal RNA
Source: RNAcentral
UCGACCUGAGAUCAGGCAAGGCUACCCGCUGAACUUAAGCAUAUCAAUAAGCGGAGGAAAAGAAACU